Molecule: non-coding RNA, 675 nt
Organism: Pelobates cultripes (western spadefoot toad)
Lineage: Eukaryota; Metazoa; Chordata; Amphibia; Anura; Pelobatidae
Source: the annotation of a GenBank genome assembly
GGUUCAGUGAAUCGAUCACUAAGUCCACGGGACAGGGAAUUUGUGAUAAAUCCUUUGUAUAAAUAUAAUUAUAUUUCAGGAAAGAUUUAUGUCGUCUUAUGUUAUAUUGUUUUCUAGGAGUAGGGAUGUGCAGACAUUUUGUAUAUUUUUAUAUUAUUGCAGUUGGUGAAGUUUAGCAUGUUUUACUCCUCUGUUGUUGUUGAUUUCACUAUGGCUUUAUUUAAACUUGAGUUGUACACAGCAGAUGGCGAGCAGUUCUUUGACUUUUCUAGAUUUCCUAGAUAUUCUAUAUUUAGAAGAUUUAUUCCAAAGAGAUUGUGUGAAGUAAUGCAACUUACAGGUUUAUUUAAUAAAGUGAGAAUUAAAGGUCAACUAGCCAAAUUGGAAGCAUUGCUAACUGGUAUUAUUUUUCCAGUUUGACUAUUGUGUCCAUAAAAUUUCAAUUCACUUUGAAUUCCCAACAAUUCUCAUUUAAGUGAAUAACCCAGUAUUACAUAUUCAACAAAUACGUAAUGUCUAAAUGUCUACUUUGGCCUAUAUUGGUUUCUAAUUUAUGAAAAGAAACUGUUUACUGAAUAGACUAACAGGGUUAUUAACUAAACUCCCAAUUUAAAGGAUUACUUUAAAAUUUCUAAAACAUUAUUUUUUUUCUUCAGUUAUAAUGCCCUGUUGGGU